AUACUUACCUGGAUGGGGUCAAUGAGUGAUCAGGAAGACUCAUAGCCUAGAGUGGAGACCUACAUUGCACUUGGUAGGGGUGCUGCUUUAAGGUCUCCCCGAGAGGGAGAGCUAUGUCAUAAUUUGUGGUAGUGGGCUAUGGACAGAAUGUAUAUGAUUUGUUCUACACCCUAC
This is a non-coding RNA of Gossypium arboreum, 174 nucleotides long. NCBI's taxonomy places the organism in Eukaryota, Viridiplantae, Streptophyta, Magnoliopsida, Malvales, Malvaceae. The record is from Rfam.